RNAcentral lists this ribosomal RNA (489 nucleotides) under uncultured bacterium. RNAcentral describes it as "bacterial SSU rRNA". It matches the Rfam family "Bacterial small subunit ribosomal RNA", at positions 1041 to 1529 of the family's 1533-position model. The record is from RNAcentral.
GUGCAUGGUUGUCGUCAGCUCGUGUCGUGAGAUGUUGGGUUAAGUCCCGCAACGAGCGCAACCCUUAAGCUUAGUUGCCAGCAUUAAGUUGGGCACUCUAAGUUGACUGCCGGUGACAAACCGGAGGAAGGUGGGGAUGACGUCAAAUCAUCAUGCCCCUUAUGAUUUGGGCUACACACGUGCUACAAUGGACAAUACAAAGGGCAGCUAAACCGCGAGGUCAUGCAAAUCCCAUAAAGUUGUUCUCAGUUCGGAUUGUAGUCUGCAACUCGACUACAUGAAGCUGGAAUCGCUAGUAAUCGUAGAUCAGCAUGCUACGGUGAAUACGUUCCCGGGUCUUGUACACACCGCCCGUCACACCACGAGAGUCUGUAACACCCGAAGCCGGUGGAGUAACCAUUUAUGGAGCUAGCCGUCGAAGGUGGGACAAAUGAUUGGGGUGAAGUCGUAACAAGGUAGCCGUAUCGGAAGGUGCGGCUGGAUCACCUC